RNAcentral lists this ribosomal RNA (876 nucleotides) under uncultured Methanosaeta sp. Its description in RNAcentral is "bacterial SSU rRNA". It matches the Rfam family "Archaeal small subunit ribosomal RNA", at positions 42 to 922 of the family's 1478-position model. The record is from RNAcentral. Lineage: Archaea; Methanobacteriati; Methanobacteriota; Methanomicrobia; Methanotrichales; Methanotrichaceae.
GACUAAGCCAUGCGAGUCGAGAGGGUAAAGCCCUCGGCGUAUUGCUCAGUAACACGCGGAUAACCUGCCCUUGGGUUCGGGAUAACCCCGGGAAACUGGGACUAAUACCGGAUAGAUCAAAGAUACUGGAAUGCAUCGAGUUCUAAAGCUCCGGCGCCUAAGGAUGGGUCUGCGGCCUAUCAGGUAGUAGUGGGUGUAGCGUACCUACUAGCCUACGACGGGUACGGGUUGUGAGAGCAAGAGCCCGGAGAUGGAUUCUGAGACACGAAUCCAGGCCCUACGGGGUGCAGCAGGCGCGAAAACUUUACAAUGCUGGAAACAGCGAUAAGGGGACCUCGAGUGCCAGGUUACAAAUCUGGCUGUCGUGAUGCCUAAAAAGCAUUGCAUAGCAAGGGCCGGGCAAGACCGGUGCCAGCCGCCGCGGUAACACCGGCGGCUCGAGUGGUAACCGUUAUUAUUGGGUCUAAAGGGUCCGUAGCCGGCCGGAUAAGUCUCUUGGGAAAUCCAGCAGCUCAACUGUUGGGCUUUCAGGAGAUACUGUCUGGCUCGAGGCCGGGAGAGGUGAGAGGUACUUCAGGGGUAGGGGUGAAAUCUUGUAAUCCUUGAAGGACCACCAGUGGCGAAGGCGUCUCACCAGAACGGACCUGACGGCAAGGGACGAAAGCUAGGGGCACGAACCGGAUUAGAUACCCGGGUAGUCCUAGCCGUAAACGAUACUCGCUAGGUGUCGGCCACGGUGCGACCGUUGUCGGUGCCGUAGGGAAGCCGUGAAGCGAGCCACCUGGGAAGUACGGCCGCAAGGCUGAAACUUAAAGGAAUUGGCGGGGGAGCACCACAACGGGUGGAGCUUGCGGUUUAAUUGGAUUCAACGCCGGG